UCAUUAUUAUUUUCUUUGAGGACGUAA
This 27-nucleotide non-coding RNA is filed under the name Bombyx mori (domestic silkworm). The record is from RNAcentral. Lineage: Eukaryota; Metazoa; Arthropoda; Insecta; Lepidoptera; Bombycidae.